This is a long non-coding RNA of Lagopus leucura (white-tailed ptarmigan), 2679 nucleotides long. RefSeq lists it as uncharacterized. NCBI's taxonomy places the organism in Eukaryota, Metazoa, Chordata, Aves, Galliformes, Phasianidae. The record is from RefSeq and is a predicted model, not a curated record. The transcript has 2 exons.
AUGUGAGAUGUAAUGGGCUUCUGUAAUUAAAUGCUAAACCUUACCCCCCCCAAAAAAAAACAACAAAAACAAAACAAAACAAAAAAAAAAAAACAGAUCAAAUACAUGGUUUAGGAAGAAGUGAAAAAUGAGUGGACUUAAAAAAAUUUGCAAGCUGCCAGCAAAUUUUUACCUGGUGUAGGAGUAUUGAAAUUGCUGUCACUAAGAACUUCUUGUUACAGCCUGCGAAGAAGAGCAAGAGCUGUCUGAUACCAAAUCCUGCAGAGUUUGGAUGAUGAUAUCUACAAGGAAAGCUAGCAGCCUAUUAGGCAGGCUUCAGCUGGAGCUUUACUGAGCUGUUAAAUGAGCAGGGUUCUGCCACCUGAAGAUUUGUCGGAAGCUACAUAGACUGAAGUCUUCCCUUUCUCAAGUUCAUGCGAAGCCCCUCUGGAUGUUGAAGAAGCAAUUUUCUUAGCACAGUUGACAGACUUGCUUUUUAGAGAAAAAAACAAUUCUAUUCUUACACUCACCACAGAAAAGAAUUGCAAUUUUGCAACACACAUCUGGAAGUGAAGCUGGUAUGCUUCAUUAAGAGCCUGUUUAAUGCUAUCUGAAGUAGGCCUUGAAAAGCAUGUUAGAUUGCAGAUUGCUUUGCUGCUACCCUUAUCUUAACACAGAUCCAUUCAUGACCAAUAUAAUGUCUUCAAAGUCACAGCACUAUCUCUUACAGAGGACUACGUUAGCAGGAAAAAAAGACUUGUGUAACAGUACAUAUAUUUAGCUGUCACACUACAGCCUGCUACGCUAUCCAGAAGACAAUAUUGUUUGGCCAUUUAAUUUAUAGCUUUUACUUCUGAUCACUAGGAAAAAAAAGCCAUGCAAGCAGAAGGGGUGACUGAAUUUGUCAGGCUGCUCUCUCCCACUGAGUUAGAUGGGCAGUGUGCCUAGGACAGAGCUGCCUGGUGGCUUGUUUCUGCCCUCUAAGGAAUCUGCAGUCUUGCCCUACCACCUGAAACUACUUAGCAAUGCUUGUCCAGCCUGCUGCAGGUGCUGAUGUGUCCAAUGAUAUUUUUGAUUUCAGCUGCAAUGAAGCUGAGUUACAUAGCUAUAUUUCUCUGUUAAUCUAGCUUUUUUUUUUUCCCCAAAUCACUCAUGAAUCUUUUCUUUGAAAAACCAAUUGUAAAGGUGUCAUGAAAAGCCACAAUUAUUUAUCUGCUAAACAAACAGGGCCAGGGUGGGAAGUUACUUUUCCUCAGUGCAAUGAGGCCAAAUGCUGAGAAUUGCAACAGUUACAGAAAAAAAUAAAAAGGAACAGCCUCUGUUCUCUACAGAAGUAAAGAUUUCAUAUAGUCUUUUUAAGCCUAUGGGGUCACUGUAACGUGAGAAGGUCCCUGAAUGAGAUGCUUGAGGGAGGUGGUGGCCUCCCAAGCUGUAACUUGCUCUCACUUGUGGGUCCUCUGCCUUUCAGAAACCUGAUCUGGCAACUGAAUUGAGAUCAGAAAUAUCUACAUAUAUAACCUGUUCUCCUCCAAACUUCAGAACAUUCAACUAUCUUGUACUAAUUUUUCCUCUAUACUUGGUAACGUCAAAACUCUAGUGGUACUGACCAACCUCUGGGAACAAAGAAAACAAAUUUUAAAGAAUUCUUCGGGGAGGCUUCUAAAUACAGCCACCAAAAGGUGGAAUGGAUCAGCCUGCAGUGCCAGUUUCAUACCAGUCAAGCAUGUUAUUUUCUCCUGUUUCUCAGGAAAAUGACAGCUUUUAAUGUUAAAUGAAAAAACACCUGAGAGCAAAAGACUGGGAGAUGAACAGGAACAUGGGCAAAGGCUGUUGGUCUUUCCUCAUCUUGAGUUCCAGCAGGAAGCUGUAAUUCUUUCAUCUCGCCUAACACAGUAUUUCAGGUUUAAACACAUAUUCCUGGAAGGAAAGAAUUUUCUGAAUCCUUUUAUUCUUAGAUGAUUUCUGGAGAUAAGUAACCUCAGACGGGGGAAGCCUCAGUGCUCACAAUGACAGAACAAAUUCCCAACUGGUAAGCUGCUCAGUGCUCUUCUACUGAAUAAAAAACUGGUUGCUAAAUAUUUGCAAAGCAAGGAUAAACAUACCUAGAGCUGAUACUUGGGUAUAGACUUGUGUGACUGAGUAUUUAUGGAAGCACACUGAGGAAACUAGACCCUUGACUAAUGUCCAAACAGGUGAAUUCAGUGCUUAAUUUGGUGCUGCAUGGUCUGCUCAGAGAUUCUUGUUUCUAAUGUUACUGGAAAUUUUUGGCAGCUGGACUGGGGUUUUGCUCCAUACGUUCUACUAGGCAAGAAAACACUGACAAAAGUAGACGUAUGGAUCUUGGGUGUAAGAGUCAUGUGUGAAGACACGGCUGGAAACUCCUAUGAAGAGGCUGGAUUUCCCUGUUCUACCUGCAGCAAAUAGCAGCCUGCUGCUGUUUUGCAUCGAUUUUGUCAGCUGAAUCCCUUUUUCUUUGGCCUCCUUCACUUUGGGGGGGAAGAAAGAAACUGUUCCUGCCUCAGAGAAUAUCUGCCAUGAGAUAGUUUGCUAUAAAGGUUCUAGGCCACUCAUUGUACUACUUAGUAACAUCUGAGAAUCAAUCAUUCUGCUCUCCUUCCAUCACCAUAAGUAUAGUCCUAAUUGAAUAUAAACUUGUUUUUUCACUGUCAAUAAACAAUGAGUUCAAGAAGUUCUAUAUAA